GUCGGGUUCCAGUGAGGUGGAUGUCAGCAGAGUCGCUCUGGUCAGGAUGUACACGCCCAAGAGUGACGUAUGUCGCUGGUGUAUUGCUCUGGGAAAUAAGUAGCCCCUAGGUGCGGUGCCUUAUUGCUCCAUCCAGCGACCAGAGCAUGUUAUCACAGCUGUGAAGGCAGGACAUCGACUAGAAAAGCCUCUCUCGUGUUCCGAUGAAAUGUACAACAUCAUGACAUCGUGUUGGCAGCAUGAGCCGAUCGAUAGGCCCUCCUUUGAGGAGAUCCACGAGAGGCUGCAGAACAUGCUAGAGAACGAGAGCGAGUAUCUCUCGCUAGUGAACGAGUUACCGGGCUCUGCUGAUGCUUCCGACCAGCAUAGUCCGCUUCCCUGUGAAAGCAACAACGAGUCGAUGUCGUGAGAUUCAACGAA
This is a long non-coding RNA of Priapulus caudatus, 420 nucleotides long. RefSeq lists it as uncharacterized. The record is from RefSeq and is a predicted model, not a curated record. NCBI's taxonomy places the organism in Eukaryota, Metazoa, Priapulida, Priapulimorpha, Priapulimorphida, Priapulidae. The transcript has 3 exons.